RNAcentral lists this ribosomal RNA (585 nucleotides) under Trichoderma longibrachiatum. Its description in RNAcentral is "eukaryotic LSU rRNA". The stretch from base 222 to 375 matches the Rfam family "5.8S ribosomal RNA". Lineage: Eukaryota; Fungi; Ascomycota; Sordariomycetes; Hypocreales; Hypocreaceae. The record is from RNAcentral.
GAGUUACAACUCCCAAACCCCAAUGUGAACGUUACCAAUCUGUUGCCUCGGCGGGAUUCUCUUGCCCCGGGCGCGUCGCAGCCCCGGAUCCCAUGGCGCCCGCCGGAGGACCAACUCCAAACUCUUUUUUUCUCUCCGUCGCGGCUCCCGUCGCGGCUCUGUUUUAUUUUUGCUCUGAGCCUUUCUCGGCGACCCUAGCGGGCGUCUCGAAAAUGAAUCAAAACUUUCAACAACGGAUCUCUUGGUUCUGGCAUCGAUGAAGAACGCAGCGAAAUGCGAUAAGUAAUGUGAAUUGCAGAAUUCAGUGAAUCAUCGAAUCUUUGAACGCACAUUGCGCCCGCCAGUAUUCUGGCGGGCAUGCCUGUCCGAGCGUCAUUUCAACCCUCGAACCCCUCCGGGGGGUCGGCGUUGGGGAUCGGCCCCUCACCGGGCCGCCCCCGAAAUACAGUGGCGGUCUCGCCGCAGCCUCUCCUGCGCAGUAGUUUGCACACUCGCACCGGGAGCGCGGCGCGGCCACAGCCGUAAAACACCCCAAACUUCUGAAAUGUUGACCUCGGAUCAGGUAGGAAUACCCGCUGAACUUAA